GACAGUUGUAACCGAUAGACUGGGCUGGGGCAACGCUGAUGAAAGGCAAAUUCCUGAGAGAAAAAUCACCCAGAUUUUUCAGUGCCUUCUCUAGCUUUCUAGAAGUUGUUAUGAGUGGACCUGACUACCUAGAGAGAGUAAUACAGAAGCUCCGUGCCGAUCACAGCUACCUCAUUACCAUGUUCCUCCAAGAUGGCCGCCCCUGAGGAGAAUCAUCAACUGGGCUUUACGGAAGAGAGAAAUCCAAACGACCAUCAGCAACAAAUGAAAGACUGAAGUUGAAAGUUUCAAGAUUGUCAAGAAUGACGAGUUGGACUUGGUCUAGUUACUUCCACAGCAGCAGGAGGAACAUGUGUGUGACUCAGGAUAACUGGGGAAGCCUUGGCUAGGCUUUCCUCAUGUCAACCUACCACUCAAAGGGAGAAAACCUCCUGAUCAGAGGAAAUCCAUAAUUUUUGAAUGCUGGCCGAGGUCUGUGACCUCUGACUGAAUGGUUUCCAAGCUCCGAAUUCCUAGGUGAUGUUUUCAUUUGUUCACACUUGCUGAAGAAGGGAAAGGCUCUCUGAUUUACGUGUAAGCAAAACAAUCUAAACAGUAGGAUAAAAUCAUGUUGGAAUGGAGUUCUGUGUGGAUGCUCCUUUGAACCAAAUCAGUUCCACAACUGACCCUGUCAGGGACAUAUAAAUUUAGCAUUUUGGUGUGGAUACAGAAGACGAGAUUAACACAGAUCAAGUAACAUGGAAAUAAAAAAGGAGACAAUGCUGGAUGAUACAGGGGCAGCCAACAAGAGGAGAAAACCCAAGCAUUGGCAAAUGCCUCAUUAUCCAAAGAACACUGAGGUGUGGAGCAAAACUGUGUUGAAUGAACUGUAGAUGGAAAUUCUCUCCUUCCCACCGAGGAGCCGCUGCAGGUUGCAGACUCCCAGAAUGCCACACUGAGAAGAGGAGGGCUAAAAUUCUAGAGCAGAAUCCCUGGGGCAGCCCCUGCUGAAGAAGGGUGCAUCUGUUGAGAAUCUCAUCACCGCCCCCACCCCGCCCAGCCUUCAAUUUAGAGGAAUUUCUAGUUCACGCAGAAUGAAGACAAGAUCACAUAAGUGAGGACGACGCCCCAUUUACAAGGGCCUCAGAGUAUGUCAGCUGGGGUCAGACGGGAACAGGAGUCUGGCUCAACACACAUUUAUUGCACUCCUGUUUCAUGCCAAGAAAUGUACCAAAAUCUGGGACUGUGUAACACAGCAAAGGAAAAGACUCAUCUCCAGGAAGCCCCCUUGUCUAGGAAGAGAAAUUGAAUAUCAGCAUAAGGUGGUGAAAAGCUGUGAAGGAGAUGAGUGCCAGGAGUCCAUGGAGGAAGGAUUCUAGCCUGGACAGGGAUUCAAAACAGACAGUAAAGAACAAAAGUCUAGCCCUUUGAGCAUUCUCCAUGGGACAUUUGAGGUCUAGCUGGCCCCAGAGAAAGAGAGACAGAAGCAAGGUCAUAUCCAUUUGAGAAAAUCAAAGUGUCUGCUCCAAUUGAGUCUGGUGUCCUUAUUCCUGGAAUAGCCAUCCCUACUGCUCUGGUGCUGAUUUACCUCCGGCAGUUCAGUGCUUCCUGGAAGGUGAUUGUGGUGAAUAGUCAUGAGAAUCUGGGAACUGGCUCCUGCUCUGUCUAUCUUGGAGAUGCAUCUUUUGUGAGAAGCCAGGGCAAGAAUAGGGAGGCUUAGGCAAUGGGAAGUUUCUGAGUAGAUAAAGCAGAUGGCAGAGCAAAGGGACAGAGCCUGGCGAGAGGCUACUCCCUGUAGCAACCUGCCUAAGAGUGAGAGGAAAGCAAGGCAUGGCUAUGAGCACGUGUAGUCUCAGCUACUUGGGAAGCUGAGGCUGGGGGAUCACUUGAGCCCAGGAGUUCAAGACCAGCCUAGGCAACAUAGUGAGACCAUGUCUCUUUAAAAAAAAAAAAAAAAAGAAAAA
Long non-coding RNA from Homo sapiens (human), 1943 nucleotides. Ensembl annotates it as long intergenic non-protein coding RNA 1206. Lineage: Eukaryota; Metazoa; Chordata; Mammalia; Primates; Hominidae. The record is from Ensembl.